Molecule: ribosomal RNA, 810 nt
Filed under: uncultured bacterium
Lineage: Bacteria
Description: bacterial SSU rRNA
Rfam family: Bacterial small subunit ribosomal RNA
Source: RNAcentral
AGAGUUUGAUCCUGGCUCAGAUUGAACGCUGGCGGCGUGCUUARCACAUGCAAGUCGAACGAGAAAGGGACUUCGGUCCUGAGUAGAGUGGCGCACGGGUGAGUAACGCGUAGGUAAUCUACCUCUGCAUCUGGGAUAACACUUCGAAAGGGGUGCUAAUACCGGAUACACUUAUGGGUCGCAAGACCUAUAAGGAAAGGAGACCUCUCCUUGGAAGUUUCUGUGUAGAGAUGAGCCUGCGUMCCAUUAGCUAGUUGGYAGGGUAARRGCCUACCAAGGCGACGAUGGKUAGCKGGUCUGAGAGGAUGAUCMGCCACACUGGAACUGARACACGGWCCRGACUCCUACGGGAGGCAGCAGUGGGGAAUUUUGCGCAAUGGGGGAAACCCUGACGCAGCAACGCCGCGUGAGUGAUGAAGGCCCUUGGGUCGUAAAGCUCUGACAGAGGGAAAGAAGUGUAGAGUGGCUAAUAUCCACAUUACUUGACGGUACCCUCAAAGGAAGCACCGGCUAACUCCGUGCCAGCAGCCGCGGUAAUACGGGGGGUGCAAGCGUUGUUCGGAUUUAUUGGGCGUAAAGCGCGUGUAGGCGGUUUUAUAAGUCUGAUGUGAAAGCCCUGGGCUCAACCCGGGAAGUGCAUUGGAUACUGUAAGACUUGAAUACGGGAGAGGGCAGUGGAAUUCCUAGUGUAGGAGUGRAAUCCGUAGAUAUUAGGAGGAACACCGGUGGCGAAGGCGGCUGCCUGGACCGAUAUUGACGCUGAGACGCGAAAGCGUGGGUAGCAAACAGGAUUAGAUACCCUGGUAGUCC